CCUAACACAUGCAAGUCGAACGGUAACAGGAAGCAGCUUCGCUGCUUCGCUGACGAGUGGCGGACGGGUGAGUAAUGUCUGGGAAGCUGCCUGAUGGAGGGGGAUAACUACUGGAAACGGUAGCUAAUACCGCAUAAUGUCGCAAGACCAAAGAGGGGGACCUUCGGGCCUCUUGCCAUCGGAUGUGCCCAGAUGGGAUUAGCUUGUUGGUGGGGUAACGGCUCACCUAGGCGACGAUCCCUAGCUGGUCUGAGAGGAUGACCAGCCACACUGGAACUGAGACACGGUCCAGACUCCUACGGGAGGCAGCAGUGGGG
RNAcentral lists this ribosomal RNA (317 nucleotides) under uncultured bacterium. Its description in RNAcentral is "bacterial SSU rRNA". It matches the Rfam family "Bacterial small subunit ribosomal RNA", at positions 47 to 359 of the family's 1533-position model. The record is from RNAcentral.